AGGGUGUAAACGCUGCAGACUUGGUGUUGGAGGCCCUUUGGGGGCAUUCAGUGCCGGAGAGAAGUUGUUAAGUCUGCUACUUGAGGAGUACGUCCGCAAGGAUGAAACUUAAAGGAAUUGGCGGGGGAGCACCGCAACGGGAGGAGCGUGCGGUUUAAUUGGAUUCAACACCGUAAAACUCACCAGGGAAGACUGUUACAUGAAGGCCGAGAUGAAGACUCUGCUAGAUUUUCAGAGAGGAGGUGCAUGGCGUCAGUGACU
This 261-nucleotide ribosomal RNA is filed under the name uncultured archaeon. RNAcentral's name for it is "partial 16S ribosomal RNA". It matches the Rfam family "Archaeal small subunit ribosomal RNA", at positions 748 to 1008 of the family's 1478-position model. The record is from RNAcentral.